RNAcentral lists this unclassified non-coding RNA (353 nucleotides) under soil metagenome. RNAcentral describes it as "partial contains 5.8S ribosomal RNA, internal transcribed spacer 2, and large subunit ribosomal RNA". The stretch from base 1 to 121 matches the Rfam family "5.8S ribosomal RNA", at positions 35 to 154 of the family's 154-position model. The record is from RNAcentral.
GAUGAAGAACGCAGCGAAAUGCGAUAAGUAAUGCGAAUUGCAGAAUUUCCGUGAGUCAUCGAAUCUUUGAACGCACAUUGCGCCCGCCAGUAUUCUGGCGGGCAUGCCUGUUCGAGCGUCAUUACAACCCUCAGGCCCCCGGGCCUGGCGUUGGGGAUCGGCGGAAGCCCCCUGUGGGCACACGCCGUCCCUCAAAUACAGUGGCGGUCCCGCCGCAGCUUCCAUUGCGUAGUAGCUAACACCUCGCAACUGGAGAGCGGCGCGGCCAUGCCGUAAAACACCCAACUUCUGAAUGUUGACCUCGAAUCAGGUAGGAAUACCCGCUGAACUUAAGCAUAUCAAUAAGCGGAGGA